CUGCUCUCGGGGUCCGGCCACACGGCGCCCACAGCCAGACCAGCAGAACCCAGGGCAGGGCAAAGUGAAGCGCAUAGUCGGGUCCAGCCCUGGCGGCCCUUCCCAUCUACUGACCGGCCGCCUCCUACCCUCCCAGGAGUGUCCUGCCUGUGAGGGGCCUUGCUUCCCUCUGGGGCAUGCACCCCCAGGCCCCAGCCCCAUUUUCUUGGAACUUUUCAGAAUCGCCCACAGGGACAGGGGCUCCAUCAGCUUGCCUGGCAGCAGGCCCCCAGCUGAGGUCAGUCCAGCACCAGCCCCCUGACCCACCCUGACACGCUCACCACCCCCCGGGCUGCCAGCACGCUUCAUCGCACGCCGGCUUCCAGGCUGGGGGCAAACAGGUGACACCAAACCCGGACCGUGGGGCCGUGGACAGGCAGCGGGACCAACGCGCAUUCCGUUCCAGGAAGCAGAAGCCGGGGGCACCCCAGACACACGGCACAGACUCGGGUCUUCUCCUUCUCAGAACGGACCAGCCUCACGAUCUGCGGGGCCCCUCGUUCAAAAAGGAUUAAGAAUCUGGAACGGCGACGGCAGAGCUUUCCAUGAAGCACGAGGCUCCCCCCACCGUGCACCCCGAGUCGCACGCCCACGAAGCCGCCAGGCCCGCCACGGCCGGCCCUGGGAGGCAGCGAGCGGUAUUACCUGCCUUCUGCUGGUGGGGACGCCGAGGCGCAUCAUGGCUCAGGAGCCAGCCCGAGGUCACAGAGCCGGCCUCUGGGAGGCGUGGACUCGACCUCUGCCACGUCCACCCCGGGAAACCACGAGGUCCCGACGGUCUGUUGGCCCUGCCCACCCUCGAGGGCAGUGGACGACCCACGCUGACCACCAGGACGUGCGAUCGGGGGGCCACGUCAGGGUCUGGCCCCCACCCAGCCUCCGGAGAGGAAGCAGGACCCACGUGCAGCCCGACGCUGGAGUGCAACGGAGUGAAGCGACUUCAAGGGGUCUGCAAACUCCGGCCCGCCAGGCAGGUCAGGCCCGCUGUCUGUCUGCAC
This 1037-nucleotide long non-coding RNA is filed under the name Equus asinus (donkey). RNAcentral describes it as "lncRNA (ENSEASG00005034633.1)". Lineage: Eukaryota; Metazoa; Chordata; Mammalia; Perissodactyla; Equidae. The record is from RNAcentral.